UGGGGAAUUUUGCACAAUGGGGGAAACCCUGAUGCAGCGACGCCGCGUGAUUUAGAAGGCCUUCGGGUUGUAAAAAUCUUUUGUAUAGGAAGAAAAUGACAGUACUAUACGAAUAAGGACCGGCUAAUUACGUGCCAGCAGCCGCGGUAAUACGUAAGGUCCGAGCGUUGUCCGGAAUCAUUGGGCGUAAAGGGUACGUAGGCGGGUAAGCAAGUUAGAAGUGAAAUCCUAUAGCUCAACUAUAGUAAGCUUUUAAAACUGCUCAUCUUGAGGUAUGGAAGGGAAAGUGGAAUUCCUAGUGUAGCGGUGAAAUGCGCAGAUAUUAAAAAGAAUACCGGUGGCGAAGGCGACUUUCUGGCCAUAAUCUGACGCUGAGGUACGAAAGCGUGGGUAGCAAACAGG
This 402-nucleotide ribosomal RNA is filed under the name Bacteroidota bacterium. RNAcentral's name for it is "Bacteroidetes bacterium partial 16S ribosomal RNA". It matches the Rfam family "Bacterial small subunit ribosomal RNA", at positions 355 to 776 of the family's 1533-position model. The record is from RNAcentral. Lineage: Bacteria; Pseudomonadati; Bacteroidota.